This 588-nucleotide ribosomal RNA is filed under the name Calophya shinjii. RNAcentral's name for it is "partial 28S ribosomal RNA". It matches the Rfam family "Eukaryotic large subunit ribosomal RNA", at positions 2330 to 2859 of the family's 3401-position model. The record is from RNAcentral. Lineage: Eukaryota; Metazoa; Arthropoda; Insecta; Hemiptera; Calophyidae.
AGAUUCCCAUCUGUCCCUAUCUACUAUCUAGCGAAACCACAGCCAGGGGAACGGUCCUGGAAAAAUUAGCGGGGAAAGAAGACCCUGUAGAGCUUGACUCCAGUCUGGCCCUGUACGGAGACAUGAGAGGUGUAGAAUAAGUGGGAGAUGGGGUGGCGGUUCCGGUCGCGUGCCCAUCGACGGUGAAAUACCACUACUCUCAUCGUUUCCUUACUUACUCGAUGAAGCGGAAUGCGUGUGGUUCCGUCGCCAAUCACGGAAUUCUUGAACCAAGCGCAAGCGGGUCGCCGGUGUUUCGGCGAUUAUCCCCGAGCGCGAUCCUAUUCGAGGACCGCGCCAGGCGGGGAGUUCGACUGGGGCGGUACAUCUGUCAAAGAAUAACGCAGGUGUCCUAAGGUCGGCUCAGCGAGGACAGAAACCUCGCUCGGAGCAAAAGGGCAAAAGCCGGCUUGAUCUCGAUGUUCAGCACGCAUAGGGACUGCGAAAGCAAGGCCUUUCGAUCCUUUUGGCUUGACGAGUUUUCAGCAAGAGGUGCCGGAAUAGUUACCUCAGGGAUAACUGGCUUGUGGCGGCCAAGCGUUCAUAGCG